This 76-nucleotide transfer RNA is filed under the name Nitratifractor salsuginis DSM 16511. RNAcentral's name for it is "tRNA-Ala (TGC) (tRNA-Ala-TGC-1-1, tRNA-Ala-TGC-1-2)". It matches the Rfam family "tRNA". Rfam says of the family: Transfer RNA (tRNA) molecules are approximately 80 nucleotides in length. Lineage: Bacteria; Pseudomonadati; Campylobacterota; Epsilonproteobacteria; Campylobacterales; Sulfurovaceae. The record is from RNAcentral.
GGGGAAUUAGCUCAGCUGGGAGAGCGCCUGCUUUGCACGCAGGAGGUCGCCGGUUCGAUCCCGGCAUUCUCCACCA